UCCGAGUUGACCCCGGCAGUCUCCUAUGAGUCCCCGGCAUAACCCGCUGGCAACAUAGGACGAGGGUUGCGCUCGUUGCGGGACUUAACCCAACAUCUCACGACACGAGCUGACGACAACCAUGCACCACCUGUUCAGGGCCCUUGCGGACCUCACAUCUCUGUGAGAUUUCCCUGCAUGUCAAGCCCUGGUAAGGUUCUUCGCGUUGCGUCGAAUUAAGCCACAUGCUCCGCCGCUUGUGCGGGUCCCCGUCAAUUCCUUUGAGUUUUAGCCUUGCGGCCGUACUCCCCAGGCAGAGCACUUAAUGCGUUAGCUGCGGCACCGGAGGGGUCGAUACCCCCGACACCUAGUGCUCACCGUUUACGGCGUGGACUAC
Molecule: unclassified non-coding RNA, 376 nt
Filed under: uncultured Actinomycetes bacterium
Lineage: Bacteria; Bacillati; Actinomycetota; Actinomycetes
Description: uncultured actinobacterium contains 16S-23S intergenic spacer region
Source: RNAcentral